GACGAACGCUGGCGGCGUGCCUAAUACAUGCCAGUUGAGCACUGAAGGUUGGUACUUGUACCAACUGGAUGAGCAGCGAACGGGUGAGUAACGCGUGGGGAAUCUGCCUUUGAGCGGGGGACAACAUUUGGAAACGAAUGCUAAUACCGCAUAAAAACUUUAAACACAAGUUUUAAGUUUGAAAGAUGCAAUUGCAUCACUCAAAGAUGAUCCCGCGUUGUAUUAGCUAGUUGGUGAGGUAAAGGCUCACCAAGGCGAUGAUACAUAGCCGACCUGAGAGGGUGAUCGGCCACAUUGGGACUGAGACACGGCCCAAACUCCUACGGGAGGCAGCAGUAGGGAAUCUUCGGCAAUGGACGAAAGUCUGACCGAGCAACGCCGCGUGAGUGAAGAAGGGUUUCGGAUCGUAAAACUCUGUUGGUAGAGAAGAACGUUGGUGAGAGUGGAAAGCUCAUCAAGUGACGGUAACUACCCAGAAAGGGACGGCUAACUACGUG
Molecule: ribosomal RNA, 497 nt
Filed under: uncultured bacterium
Lineage: Bacteria
Description: partial 16S ribosomal RNA
Rfam family: Bacterial small subunit ribosomal RNA
Source: RNAcentral